RNAcentral lists this ribosomal RNA (924 nucleotides) under Flavobacteriales bacterium. RNAcentral's name for it is "partial 23S ribosomal RNA". It matches the Rfam family "Bacterial large subunit ribosomal RNA", at positions 1 to 934 of the family's 2925-position model. The record is from RNAcentral. Lineage: Bacteria; Pseudomonadati; Bacteroidota; Flavobacteriia; Flavobacteriales.
UUUUAAAAGUUAUUAAGGGCGUAUGGCGGAUGCCUAGGCUCUCAUAGGCGAAGAAGGACGUGACAAGCUGCGAUAAGUUUCGAUAAGGUGCAAAUAACCUUUGAGUCGAAAAUUUCCGAAUGGGGCAACCCAAUUAUUUGAAGAAUAAUUAUCCUAUUUAUAGGAAGCUAACCUGGUGAACUGAAACAUCUAAGUAACCAGAGGAAGAGAAAACAAUAGUGAUUCCCUGAGUAGUGGCGAACGAAAAGGGAACAGCCCAAACCAAGAUUAUUUCGGUAAUUUUGGGGUUGUAGGACUACAACGUGCAAUAUAAAUUUAUAAAAGAAUGUUUUGGAAAGAACAACCAUAGAGGGUGAUAGUCCCGUAUUUGAAAUAGAUUUAUUAGCUAGUAGUAUCCUGAGUAGGACGGAACACGUGAAAUUCUGUCUGAAUCCACCGGGACCAUCCGGUAAGGCUAAAUACUAAUGAGAGACCGAUAGUGAACAAGUACCGUGAGGGAAAGGUGAAAAGUACUCCGAACAGGAGAGUGAAAUAGAUCCUGAAACCAUACGCCUACAAGCGGUAGGAGCCAUUUUUAUGGUGACUGCGUGCCUUUUGUAUAAUGAACCUACGAGUUACUCCUCUCUAGCAAGGGUAAGAAUUUUUGAUUCGAAUCCGUAGCGAAAGCAAGUCUGAAUAGGGCGCUUAGUUAGAGGGGGUAGACGCGAAACCAAGUGAUCUACCCAUGGACAGGUUGAAACUCCGUUAACCCGGAGUGGAGGACCGAACCAAUAUACGUUGAAAAGUGUUUGGAUGAUCUGUGGGUAGGGGUGAAAGGCUAAUCAAACUUGGAAAUAGCUCGUACUCUCCGAAAUGCAUUUAGGUGCAGCCUCGAUAUUAUUGUCAUAGAGGUAGAGCUACUGAUUGGAUGCGGGGGCUUCAUCG